Neopsephotus bourkii (Bourke's parrot) is the source of this 222-nucleotide long non-coding RNA. RefSeq lists it as uncharacterized. NCBI's taxonomy places the organism in Eukaryota, Metazoa, Chordata, Aves, Psittaciformes, Psittacidae. The transcript is spliced from 3 exons. The record is from RefSeq and is a predicted model, not a curated record.
UGAUCUCCAGUGUAUGCACACCAGUCCAAACCAUGGUUACUCCAUGUUGUGGUGCAGAUCUGCAAAGAGAACACAAUGGUCCCGGGAAUACAGAACCAAACUGAAAUUCCUGGGUCACUGGCACCUACAGUCUUGUUCCUAAAGACACCAUAUCGGAUAAGAUCCAGGCACCUGGCUGAUCCUUGCUCUGGAAGAAACCAGGCCUUUAAAAAGGCACUCACA